This 496-nucleotide ribosomal RNA is filed under the name uncultured bacterium. Its description in RNAcentral is "bacterial SSU rRNA". It matches the Rfam family "Bacterial small subunit ribosomal RNA", at positions 28 to 523 of the family's 1533-position model. The record is from RNAcentral.
GAUGAACGCUAGCGGGAGGCCUAAUACAUGCAAGUCGAGCGGUAGAGUGACUUCGGUUGCUUGAGAGCGGCGAACGGGUGAGUAACGCGUACACAAUCUACCUUUAAGAGGGGAAUAGCCCUGGGAAACUGGGAUUAAUGCCCCAUGGCAUCACGAAGUGGCAUCGCUUUGUGAUUAAAGCUGAGGUGCUUAGAGAUGAGUGUGCGUCUGAUUAGCUAGUUGGUGCGGUAACGGCGCACCAAGGCGACGAUCAGUAGGGGGCGUGAGAGCGUGGACCCCCACACGGGUACUGAGACACGGACCCGACUCCUACGGGAGGCAGCAGUAAGGAAAUUGGUCAAUGGAGGAAACUCUGAACCAGCCAUCCCGCGUGCAGGAAGAAUGCCCUAUGGGUUGUAAACUGCUUUUUAUCUGGGAAGAAAAGUCGGCAUUUAUGCUGAUCUGACGGUACCAGAGGAAUAAGCACCGGCUAACUCCGUGCCAGCAGCCGCGGUAA